RNAcentral lists this small RNA (564 nucleotides) under Pan troglodytes (chimpanzee). RNAcentral describes it as "retained intron". The record is from RNAcentral. Lineage: Eukaryota; Metazoa; Chordata; Mammalia; Primates; Hominidae.
GUGGCCUGCACAAGCUCUACUCACUGGUCAACCUGGAUCUCCGGGACAACAGGAUCGAACAGGUGAGCCCAAGGACCUCACGGUUUUGGGAUUUCUGUGCCUUGGUGUGUAUCAUGUUAAAGAAGAAUGUUAAGAUUCCUUUCAUUUAAAAGAGACCAUGAAACGUGUUGGCGUGUUGCUGAAGUGUUAAGAGAAGGGACCAAAGGGGAUGGAACUCAUACCUUGCAGAUGGAGGAGGUCCGGAGCAUAGGCAGCCUCCCGUGUCUGGAGCAUGUGUCUCUGCUGAACAACCCUCUGAGCAUCAUCCCCGACUACCGGACCAAGGUGCUGGCUCAGUUCGGAGAGAGGGCCUCAGAGGUCUGUCUGGAUGACACAGUGACCACAGAGAAGGAGCUGGACACUGUGGAAGUGCUGAAAGCAAUUCAGAAAGCCAAGGAGGUCAAGUCCAAACUGAGCAACCCAGAGAAGAAGGGUGGUGAAGACUCCCGGCUCUCAGCUGCCCCCUGCAUCAGACCCAGCAGCUCCCCUCCCACUGUGGCUCCCGCAUCUGCCUCCCUGCCCCAG